RNAcentral lists this ribosomal RNA (497 nucleotides) under uncultured bacterium. RNAcentral's name for it is "bacterial SSU rRNA". It matches the Rfam family "Bacterial small subunit ribosomal RNA", at positions 28 to 526 of the family's 1533-position model. The record is from RNAcentral.
GAUGAACGCUGGCGGCGUGCUUAACACAUGCAAGUCGAACGGAGUAGAUAAGUGGAAGCCUUCGGGUGGAAACUUAUUUACUUAGUGGCGGACGGGUGAGUAACGCGUGGGUAACCUGCCUUACACAGGGGGAUAACAGUCGGAAACGACUGCUAAUACCGCAUAAGCGCACAGUGCUGCAUGGCACAGUGUGAAAAGAUUUAUCGGUGUAAGAUGGACCCGCGUCUGAUUAGCUAGUUGGUAGGGUAACGGCCUACCAAGGCGACGAUCAGUAGCCGGCUUGAGAGAGUGAACGGCCACAUUGGGACUGAGACACGGCCCAAACUCCUACGGGAGGCAGCAGUGGGGAAUAUUGCACAAUGGGGGAAACCCUGAUGCAGCGACGCCGCGUGAGUGAAGAAGUAUUUCGGUAUGUAAAGCUCUAUCAGCAGGGACGAUAAUGACGGUACCUGACUAAGAAGCCCCGGCUAACUACGUGCCAGCCGCCGCCGUAAAAC